This 69-nucleotide transfer RNA is filed under the name Prays oleae. RNAcentral's name for it is "tRNA-Gln". The record is from RNAcentral. Lineage: Eukaryota; Metazoa; Arthropoda; Insecta; Lepidoptera; Praydidae.
UAUAUUUUAGUGUAAAAUGCAUAAAAGAUUUUGAUUCUUUAGGAUAUAGUUUAAUUCUAUAAAAUAUAA